This 485-nucleotide ribosomal RNA is filed under the name uncultured bacterium. RNAcentral's name for it is "partial 16S ribosomal RNA". It matches the Rfam family "Bacterial small subunit ribosomal RNA", at positions 899 to 1397 of the family's 1533-position model. The record is from RNAcentral.
ACUCAAAGGAAUAGACGGGGACCCGCACAAGCGGUGGAGCAUGGGGUUUAAUUCGACGAUACGCGAAGAACCUUACCGAGGCUUGACAUCCCUGGAAUCCGGCAGAAAUGCUGGAGUGCCUUCGGGAGCCAGGUGACAGGUGCUGCAUGGCCGUCGUCAGCUCGUGUCGUGAGAUGUUGGGUUAAGUCCCGCAACGAGCGCAACCCUUGUCGUGUGUUGAAUUUUUCACACGAGACUGCCCGGGCCAACCGGGAGGAAGGUGGGGAUGACGUCAGGUCAGCAUGGCCCUUACGCCUCGGGCCACACCCGUGCUACAAUGGCCGGUACAACGCGUUGCCAAGCCGCAAGGUGGAGCUAAUCGCAUCAAAACCGGUCUCAGUUCGGAUAGAGGGCUGCAACUCGCCCUCUUGAAGCUGGAAUCGCUAGUAACCGUAGGUCAGCAUACUACGGUGAAUACGUUCCCGGGUCUUGUACACACCGCCCGU